GGGAGGAUAGCUCAGUGGUAGAGUGCGUGCUUAGCGUGCAUGAUGUCCUGAGUUCAAUCCCCAGUAUGUCUG
This 72-nucleotide transfer RNA is filed under the name Camelus bactrianus (Bactrian camel). It matches the Rfam family "tRNA". Rfam says of the family: Transfer RNA (tRNA) molecules are approximately 80 nucleotides in length. Their secondary structure includes four short double-helical elements and three loops (D, anti-codon, and T loops). Lineage: Eukaryota; Metazoa; Chordata; Mammalia; Artiodactyla; Camelidae. RNAcentral also lists the same sequence under 2 other names. The record is from Rfam by way of RNAcentral.